AGUGAACGCUGGCGGCGUGCUUAACACAUGCAAGUCGAACGAGAACGGAUUAUAGCUUGCUAUAAUUGUCAGCUAAGUGGCGCACGGGUGAGUAAUGUAUAGGUAAUAUACCUCUUACUAAGGGAUAACAAAUGGAAACGUUUGCUAAUACCUUAUACUCCUUAUUAACAUAAGUUGAUAAGGGAAAGAUUUAUUGGUAAGAGAAUAGCCUGUAUUGUAUCAGUUAGUUGGUGGGGUAAUGGCUUACCAAGACUAUGACACAUAACUGGUUUGAGAGGAUGAUCAGUCACACUGGAACUGAGACACGGUCCAGACUCCUACGGGAGGCAGCAGUGGGGAAUAUUGCACAAUGGACGAAAGUCUGAUGCAGCAACGCCGCGUGGAGGAUGACACAUUUCGGUGCGUAAACUCCUUUUAUAUGAGAAGAUAAUGACGGUAUUAUAUGAAUAAGCACCGGCUAACUCCGUGCCAGCCGCCGCCGUAA
RNAcentral lists this ribosomal RNA (484 nucleotides) under uncultured bacterium. RNAcentral's name for it is "partial 16S ribosomal RNA". It matches the Rfam family "Bacterial small subunit ribosomal RNA", at positions 29 to 523 of the family's 1533-position model. The record is from RNAcentral.